Molecule: unclassified non-coding RNA, 224 nt
Filed under: Dothideomycetes sp.
Lineage: Eukaryota; Fungi; Ascomycota; Dothideomycetes
Description: partial contains small subunit ribosomal RNA, internal transcribed spacer 1, and 5.8S ribosomal RNA
Rfam family: Eukaryotic small subunit ribosomal RNA (bases 1-46)
Source: RNAcentral
AAGUCGUAACAAGGUUUCCGUAGGUGAACCUGCGGAAGGAUCAUUACUGGGUCACCGAGCGCCCCGGCGCUCACCCCCACCCUUCUGUCUACAGACCAGCUUCGGCUCGAGGCUGGCCCCCUUCGCCGGGGGCCCGCCGGCCGAAAAUCCAACCCUGAAAAACAUUGCAGCCUGAAGUAACAAGCAAAUAGUUAAAACUUUCAACAACGGAUCUCUUGGUUCUG